UACGAAGGGAACUAGCGUUGUUCGGGUUACUGGGCGUAAAGAGCAUGUAGGCGGAUUGGUCAGUUGGGGGUGAAAGCCCGGAGCUCAACUCCGGAACGGCCUUCAAUACUGCCAGUCUAGAGUCUGUAAGGGGGUGGUGGAAUUCCGAGUGUAGAGGUGAAAUUCGUAGAUAUUCGGAGGAACACCAGUGGCGAAGGCGGCCACCUGGUACAGUACUGACGCUGAGAUGCGAAAGCGUGGGGAGCAAACAGG
RNAcentral lists this ribosomal RNA (252 nucleotides) under uncultured bacterium. RNAcentral's name for it is "partial 16S ribosomal RNA". It matches the Rfam family "Bacterial small subunit ribosomal RNA", at positions 524 to 776 of the family's 1533-position model. The record is from RNAcentral.